Molecule: long non-coding RNA, 666 nt
Filed under: Homo sapiens (human)
Lineage: Eukaryota; Metazoa; Chordata; Mammalia; Primates; Hominidae
Description: non-protein coding lnc-DBH-2:1
Source: RNAcentral
CGGCUCUUAAGACGCAAGUCUGCUGAUGCUCCCGGCUGAAUAAACCUCUUCCUUCUUUAAUUCGGUGUCUGAGGAGUUUUGUCUGCGGCUCAUCCUGCUACAUCAAGGUACAAGAAAGAGAAUUUCCUGUGCUACAUCAAGGUACAAGAAAGAGAAUUUCCUUUGCAAUCCCUUGGUGGUGGUGGUGGCAGCAGUGUGUGUAUGGAGCUCAUUGAUGGAAUUACAAAUAUGUUCCCAGUGUUUUUGUUGUCUUAUCAGAAGGGUUGAUCAGGAUAUGUAACCUACUGCAAAAGACAGAAUAAUGGCCCCCCCGAAAGAUAUCCAUGUUCCAGACUACGUCACAGUCUGGAACCUGUCAAUGUGUUACCUUUCACUGCAAAAGAGACUUUGAAGAUGUGAUCCAGGGAGAUUGUCCUGGAUCAUCUGAGUGAAUCUAAUCAUAUGAGUCCUGAAAAGUGGAGACCCCUUCCCAGCUGUAACCCGAGGGAGACAGCUGUGACUUUGGAAGAGGGGCCAGAGAGAUGCCACUAUGCUGGCUUUGAAGAUGGAGCAUGGCGCCAUGAUUCAACAGAUGCAGCAGCUUCUAGAAGCCGGAAAAGGGAAGGCAAUGGUUUCCCCCUGGGGCCUCCAGGAAGGAACGUAACUCUGCUGACACCUCCAUUUCAG